GGAGGGGGGGGGGUGUUAAGGCUACGAGUAGAAGAGGGCCGCGAAAAAUUUACAAAAUAUUCCGCCCCCCCCCGUCGUAAUAAUGACUGCUCCCUAACAUUAAAGUGUUCAGACGUUUGUAACUUUACUUUCAAUUAGUAUUCUUAGGCCACCAGAUUCUGCAACGUUUGUAACUUUACUCUCACGUUGCAUUGGGCCACCAGGUUCUGCGAAGAGUGUUCGGUCUUCGUGAAAUAUUUUCUGGAGGUACAAAAAACAGAUUCCAUAGACAAAUAGCAGCCUUAUCCCGAGGAAAAUCUUCGACAUGUUAAUCAUGAGUGUACCAUGGAUAUCGCCAUGUAUGACCGCGACAGGAAACAAUGCUAGGGUGGCGUCCAGGGUUAUUGCGCUGGCAAAUGCAAAACAUUCCAGACAAUGAG
Paramuricea clavata is the source of this 419-nucleotide non-coding RNA. Lineage: Eukaryota; Metazoa; Cnidaria; Anthozoa; Malacalcyonacea; Plexauridae. The record is from the annotation of a GenBank genome assembly.